AGCUCCAAUAGCGUAUACUAAUGUUGUUGCAGUUAGAAAGCUCGUAGUUGGAUUUCUGGCUUCGGUGCACCUGGCCCGGGGACCUGGUGUCCUUGUGAGCCGGUUUGUGCAUCGGCCAUCCUUCGGGAGAGUGUCUCUGCCCUUGAUUGGGUUGGAGGCAGGAUCCUGACCGUUUACUUUGAAAAAAUUAGAGUGUUCAAAGCAGGCCUUUUGUGCUGUGAAUACAUUAGCAUGGAAUAAUAAGAUAGGACUUCGGCCCUAUUUUGUUGGUUUCUGGGUUGCUGAGGUAAUGAUUGAUAGGGAUAGUUGGGGGUGCUCGUAUUCAACGGCCAGAGGUGAAAUUCUUGGAUUCGUUGAAGACGAACUUAUGCGAAAGCAUUCACCAAGGAUGUCUUCUUUA
RNAcentral lists this ribosomal RNA (400 nucleotides) under phytoplankton environmental sample. Its description in RNAcentral is "partial small subunit ribosomal RNA". It matches the Rfam family "Eukaryotic small subunit ribosomal RNA", at positions 587 to 975 of the family's 1831-position model. The record is from RNAcentral.